GUCCUCGGUACCCACGAAACGGAUCCAAAGAGUCUCAACACCAAUGUAACAUCCCACCCUGACCCAUCUUUGCCCUCUGAGGAAAGCGGGCCCGAAAUGAGUUAUUCAUGCCCACCGCGGGGUCAGGGACAAGGAGCAGUUGAGUGGCCGAGGAGGAAGAGAGAAACGAAUCCACUCGGGUCUUCCAGGCUGUUGGUUACCCAAUUGGGCUUUCACAGCAGAGCUGCCAAAUGCCAGAAUUGAGGCCUCGGUGAAAAGCGCGCUUAGACUUGAGGAGGAGGCCAGGUGGGACCCGCGAGCCUUAUCUCCCUGCCAAACUCUGCCGUUCAUUAAGCGGCUGCUUCUCCUCCUAACUGGCGAAGGACUCAGGUGGGCGGGGCAAAGCUCAGCCUGGGAGGCGGCGGAAGCGAGUAGCUCGGCAGGGAGACUCGCUUGGCUUUCGUGCGGUCCGUGGACGCAGUCGCGCGGGUAGGUGACCGGCUUGGAUUUCAAAGUCCUGCAGGAAAUCCUGCCCUCUGGGUUGCACUUCCUGGUUGAGCCUCUGAAGUCUCAAGCAGCAUUGUUUUAGUGCUUUGAUGAAGCUCAGCACGCUACCGAAAUCUCCAUUAUCCAUUUGUAUUAUUUCUUUAGAAAACUCAACAAUCUUUUUGUUGGAGGUGGGGAAAUGAGAAGGUGAUGUUUUGUUUUGCUUUUUCUCAUUUUUUUUUUAAAGGGGGAGUAGAUGACAGUGUUCUCCUUAAGGAGGAAGUUUGACUUUUGAAACAUACCACAUGCUUAAAACACAUUUGAGUUCCUGCAUGAACAGUAAGCUAGCAGAUGGUAGAAAUAUUCGUUAUUAAUUCAAAAAAUAUUUACUGCGGACCUACAAUGUGCCAAGCAUGUCUCCUGACUCUGGGGAUAAGCAGUGAACAACAAAAAGACCAAGUUCUUCCACCCUGAGGCUUAUAUUCUAGGUCUUUGUGGGAAGAAACAAAGAAAUCACAAAAGUAAUUAAGAGAGCUCAAAUAAUGGGGUUUAUGCCAGUUACAUGCAAGGAUCCUGCAUAUUUCAGGGACCCUAACGUUUAUAACAUCAGGUAUCGGGAAUAAAUUCUAUCACAUUGCCACUAAUAAACUUUUUUUAUAGUAAGUGCUUGUAUGAUGCCAAUACUGACUCAAACCAACCUUUGGAUAGAAAAGUGUUUCAGGAGUGACGUAAAGAAUGACACUUCUCCUUCAUAUCAAUCAAGGUUCAUUAAGCAGAUCGCUUAUUUAAAAUGUUAUCACAUUUUACAUAUGUUGAAUAAAAGUGGUUCUGUAUGACUGUCAUUAUAUCUGGUCCCCAGAUAGCUCAUACAAUGUAAUACACCAUUCAAUUGAAUGGAGUUAAAACUGCUCAGAAUGAUUUUCUAACUAGCAAAUGUAAGUAUGCCUGGUUAAGAGAUCUUUCCUUUGUAGAAAUGUUACAUUGGGAUGUAUAGUGGUGCUGUCAACAGGAGGACAAAAUAUUCCUAGACAAGUCUAUCCUCAAACCAGUAGUGUCUUUUACAUAAAAAGAUUAUUUACAUCUAAUAGACACUGAAGGUGAUAAACAUGUAUGUAUAUAUGUAUCAGUUCUGAGUUCCACUGACCUGUCCCAAACACACUGGAUUACCAGGCUUGUACUGUACUCAAAAUUAUGGAUUUGCUAAAUUUCGGGCAAAGGACUCUAAAGUAGGGGAGACAUUACUGUUUGUGUUGGGUUAUAGUUGCAUAAUAAUCAAGGCUACCAGAUUUAGCAAGUACAAAUGUAGGACAAAUUUAAAUUUUAGAUCAUGUUUUGCAAAUUUAUUGCGUGAUAUACAGCAUUAUAUCUGGCAACUCUAGCCAUAGUGUACUUCUAAAAACUUAUCACUUAAGGAGAAUUUUAAUGACUCAGAUAAAUUUUCAUAUAAAUUUCUUCCCACAUUGUGAAAAUGAGGCUAUUCUUGCUUUUCUGAUACUUUUCUUUUUUAAUGAGAUGGUUCUCACUGUGUUGCCCAGGCUGGUCUCUAAAUCCUGACCUCAAUCCGUCCUCCUGCCUUGUCUUCCCGAAGUGCUGGGAUUAUAGCUGUGAGCCACUGUGCCUGGCCUCACUUUUCCAAUUCUAAAGAAUGUGUCUGUGUAAGCCUUUCCCUCAACAACUUAUUGAAAGGUGAAAAAAGGUUUGGAAAUAAAAGCAUCUGAUGUUCGAAAAAGUACUUUGUAAAAUAAAUGCACUAAGACUUAUCUGUGGAUUACUGCAAACAGGUGAACAUAGUAAAAACAAAUGAACUUACCUUUACUAGGUAAGCAAGUAGCUCAACCUAGUAAAAACAAUAAAAAUGUUUGGCUUUACCCAUCAGCCAAAU
Non-coding RNA from Chlorocebus sabaeus (green monkey), 2347 nucleotides. Lineage: Eukaryota; Metazoa; Chordata; Mammalia; Primates; Cercopithecidae. The record is from RefSeq and is a predicted model, not a curated record.